CCCUGGUUAGCUCAGUCGGUAGAGCGCUCCACCUGUAAUGGAGAGGUCCCGGGUUCGAUACCCGGACCAGGCG
This is a non-coding RNA of Ixodes scapularis (black-legged tick), 73 nucleotides long. Lineage: Eukaryota; Metazoa; Arthropoda; Arachnida; Ixodida; Ixodidae. The record is from Rfam.